GCCCUAAAUCUCGAACAAGAAAUUAACCGGUAAUUGCUUUCCGAUUUAUCUCCUGUUUUCCAGUAUAUUUUUUUGUCUGUUAUAUUUUUUUUUAACUGUAGAAAGAAAUUAGAAGAUGACUCUUUUAACAUCCAAUGGAAAAUCGUAUAUGGUUAAUCACUGAUCUACAGUUGCAGGUAAGUGAAUCAACGAUCAUCUUGAUGAUGAUUACGAGGUGUUUGAUCCAGUGGCUAUUUGUGGAUCUAUACAUGCCUAAUUAGGUCAUGAGAUUUAAAUCAAUUUAGUGACGGUAAUCUUAUAUGUUUGUUAAUCGUUUCCACUAAAUUGACUAAAUAAUCGGUACGUUUUUGGACUAGACGCCUGUAUAUAGCUUACAUUUAUUAAUAGGUUGGAAUGUAAAUUGAUUUAAGAAUGAUUUCAUGCGGUUUGUAGACGUUUUUGAACGUCAUUUUACAUAGAGAAAGUGAAAUGUAGUUUCUUAUGCAAACAUAUUAAUCCUUCUAGCUAUUACAUACUAUUAGUUUUUAUAUGUAGAUAUUUAUCGUUUUACCCAGUUUGUAAAUGUAGAUUAAGGAAAACACCAACAGAAAAAAAUCAAUCCUGUAAGAGAUAACAUAUGCUGGGACAGUUCACUUAAAGAGGUUGGUGUGGAUGAAAGACCGCUGAAGGCGGGGCCAAAUUCAGUAGCUUUGGAAAGUGUCGAAACACGAAAAGAAAUUAUUUACGCAUUUUAUCGCUAGCCCGGUAGUAGUUGAAUUGGAACAUGAAAAUCGACGAUUAGUGUUUGGGGUACUCUAUUGGUGUCAAACGAUGGGGAAAAGGAACAGAUUGACGAUGCACAAAUGUUUGAAAAGGAAGGUGAAGCCGCAGGGGGAGAGAGGUGCGGCGGUCAUUUGCAGCACCGUAGCUGCAGUCGGAGACAUGGAAGUAGCCCAGCUCUAGCUCCGACGAUAAAAUGCCUGAAUAAUCUAAAACGAAACCCAGCUUUAUGAUUGACAUAUUGUUUUCUACAGGCCAAUGCACGUUUGGGAUGUUUUGUAGUUGCGGCUGGGCCUGAUUUUCAACAUGAGCAUUGUCACGCUGAAGAGAAAAAGAGAUUGAAUGAGGAUUUGGUAUGUUUCAUUUGCAUUUAAAAAAGUCGUAUCUAAGUUAUCUUCUUUAGUGUUUAAUUCUUUAGUUGUAUAUUGGAGCAUGAUUAGUGAAUGCAAAUUAUGGAGUAAUGUUAUAUUCUAAAUAAUGAACAGUCAUGAUUAUGUCAGCAGAUGAAUCUUGGGAAUUUAUUUUACACAUGCAUAAUG
Helianthus annuus (common sunflower) is the source of this 1298-nucleotide long non-coding RNA. RefSeq lists it as uncharacterized. The transcript is spliced from 3 exons. Lineage: Eukaryota; Viridiplantae; Streptophyta; Magnoliopsida; Asterales; Asteraceae. The record is from RefSeq and is a predicted model, not a curated record.